This 503-nucleotide ribosomal RNA is filed under the name uncultured bacterium. RNAcentral's name for it is "bacterial SSU rRNA". It matches the Rfam family "Bacterial small subunit ribosomal RNA", at positions 16 to 507 of the family's 1533-position model. The record is from RNAcentral.
AUCCUGGCUCAGGAUGAACGCUAGCUACAGGCUUAACACAUGCAAGUCGAGGGGCAGCGGGGAUUGAAGCUUGCUUCAAUUGCCGGCGACCGGCGCACGGGUGAGUAACGCGUAUCCAACCUUCCGUACACUCAGGGAUAGCCUUUCGAAAGAAAGAUUAAUACCUGAUGGUAUGAUGAGAUUGCAUGAUAGCAUCAUUAAAGAUUUAUCGGUGUACGAUGGGGAUGCGUUCCAUUAGGUAGUAGGCGGGGUAACGGCCCACCUAGCCUACGAUGGAUAGGGGUUCUGAGAGGAAGGCCCCCCACAUUGGAACUGAGACACGGUCCAAACUCCUACGGGAGGCAGCAGUGAGGAAUAUUGGUCAAUGGACGAGAGUCUGAACCAGCCAAGUAGCGUGAAGGAUGAAGGUCCUACGGAUUGUAAACUUCUUUUAUAAGGGAAUAAACCCUCCCACGUGUGGGAGCUUGUAUGUACCUUAUGAAUAAGCAUCGGCUAACUCCGUG